RNAcentral lists this ribosomal RNA (460 nucleotides) under uncultured bacterium. RNAcentral's name for it is "partial 16S ribosomal RNA". It matches the Rfam family "Bacterial small subunit ribosomal RNA", at positions 338 to 795 of the family's 1533-position model. The record is from RNAcentral.
CCUACGGGAGGCAGCAGUGAGGAAUAUUGGUCAAUGGACGCAAGUCUGAACCAGCCAUGCCGCGUGCAGGAAGACGGCUCUAUGAGUUGUAAACUGCUUUUGUACGAGGGUAAACGCAGAUACGCGUAUCUGUCUGAAAGUAUCGUACGAAUAAGGAUCGGCUAACUCCGUGCCAGCAGCCGCGGUAAUACGGAGGAUUCAAGCGUUAUCCGGAUUUAUUGGGUUUAAAGGGUGCGUAGGCGGUCGGAUAAGUUAGAGGUGAAAUCCCGAGGCGUAACUUCGGAAUUGCCUCUGAUACUGUUCGGCUUGAGAGUAGUUGCGGUAGGCGGAAUGUAUGGUGUAGCGGUGAAAUGCUUAGAGAUCAUACAGAACACCGAUUGCGAAGGCAGCUUACCAAGCUACUUCUGACGUUGAGGCACGAAAGCGUGGGGAGCAAACAGGAUUAGAUACCCUGGUAGUC